UACGAAGGGGGCUAGCGUUGUUCGGAUUUACUGGGCGUAAAGCGCACGUAGGCGGCUUUGUAAGUUAGAGGUGAAAGCCCGGAGCUCAACUCCGGAAUUGCCUUUAAGACUGCAUCGCUUGAAUCAUGGAGAGGUGAGUGGAAUUCCGAGUGUAGAGGUGAAAUUCGUAGAUAUUCGGAAGAACACCAGUGGCGAAGGCGACUCACUGGACAUGUAUUGACGCUGAGGUGCGAAAGCGUGGGGAGCAAACAGG
RNAcentral lists this ribosomal RNA (253 nucleotides) under uncultured bacterium. Its description in RNAcentral is "partial 16S ribosomal RNA". It matches the Rfam family "Bacterial small subunit ribosomal RNA", at positions 524 to 776 of the family's 1533-position model. The record is from RNAcentral.